GCGUUGUUUCUUCCUCUCCAACUGUUUCCACAGUACUUUCAGUUUCUCUUCGUUUUGUUUUUCUUUUAUUUUUCUUGCUCCUCUUUCUACACACUGAAGUUGCUGUUGUUUUACAUUUACCUUUUAUUUAUUUGUAGUUUUUGAGGCAGGUUGGAGUGUAAGAAUGCAAUCUCGGCUUACAGCCGCCUCGACUUUCCAGGACUCCCUCAGGUGAUCUUCCUAUCUCAGCCUUCCAAGUGGCUGAGACUACAGGAAUCACUUAAUUCUGUGAUGUCGAAGCUGAAGUGAGCCGUGAUGAUGCCUUGCCCUCCAGUCUGAGUGUUUCAGAAGGUGGAGUUUCGCUCUUAUUGCCCAGGCUGGAGUUCAGUGGCGUGACCUCAGCUCACCGCAACCUCUGCCGCCUGUGUUCAAGAGAUUUUCCAGUCUUCACCCUUUCGAGUAGCUGAAACCACAGGCAAACACCUCCAGGCCUGGCUAAUUUUUUUUUUUUCAUAGAGACUAGGUAGCUCCAUAAUGGUCAGGCUGGUCUAGAACACCCAACCUGAGGCGUACCACCCAACUUGACCACCCAAAGUGCUGAGAUUAAAGGCGUGAGCUCCGCGUCUGGCCAUAACAUCUUAUCCUAUAGAAGCCCAGAGAGGUUAGGCGUCAUCUCACGUGUCGAGGUGAUCUCGAACUUUUAGGCUCCAGAGAUCCUCCCGCAUCGGCCUCCCGGAGUGCUGUGAUGACACGCGUGGGCACGACGGAGUUUCACUCUUGUCGCCCAGGGUGGAGUACGAUGGCGGCUCUCGGCUCACCGCACCCUCCGCCUCCCAGGUUCAAGUGAUUCUCCUGCCUCAGCCUUCCCGAGUAGCUGGAAUGACAGAGAUGAGCCAUCGUGCCCGGCUAAUUUUUCUAUUUUUACUACAGAUGGGGUUUCUCCAUCUUGGUCAGGCUGGUCUUCAACUUCCGACCGUUGGAGAAUCUUAACUUUCUUGGUGGUGGUUGUUUUCCUUUUUCUUUUUUUUCUUUUCUUUUCUUUCCUUCUCCUCCCCCCCCACCCCCCCUUGUCGUCGUCCUCCUCCUCCUCCUCCUCCUCCUCCUCCUCCUCCUCCUCCUCCUCCUCUUUCAUUUCUUUCAGCUGGGCUCUCCUACGUGUGUUGCUCUGUUGCUCACGCUGGUCUCAAACUCCUGGCCUUGACGCUUCUCCCGUCACAUCCGCCGUCUGGUUGUUGAAAUGAGCAUCUCUCGUAAAAUGGAAAAGAUGAAAGAAAUAAACACGAAGACGGAAAGCACGGUGUGAACGUUUCUCUUGCCGUCUCCCGGGGUGUACCUUGGACCCGGAAACACGGAGGGAGCUUGGCUGAGUGGGUUUUCGGUGCCGAAACCUCCCGAGGGCCUCCUUCCCUCUCCCCCUUGUCCCCGCUUCUCCCCCAGCCGAGGCUCCCACCGCCGCCCUGGCAUUUUCCAUAGGAGAGGUAUGGGAGAGGACUGACACGCCUUCCAGAUCUAUAUCCUGCCGGACGUCUCUGGCUCGGCGUGCCCCACCGGCUACCUGCCACCUUCCAGGGAGCUCUGAGGCGGAUGCGACCCCCACCCCCCCGUCACGUCCCGCUACCCUCCCCCGGCUGGCCUUUGCCGGGCGACCCCAGGGGAACCGCGUUGAUGCUGCCUUCGGAUCCUCCGGCGAAGACUUCCACCGGAUGCCCCGGGUGGGCCGGUUGGGAUCAGACUGGACCACCCCGGACCGUGCUGUUCUUGGGGCACACAGAUGAGACGCACGAGAGGGAGAAACAGCUCAAUAGAUACCGCUGACCUUCAUUUGUGGAAUCCUCAGUCAUCGACACACAAGACAGACGGAGUCUCGCUCUGGGCGGGGCGAGGCGAGGCGAGGCACAGCGCAUCGCUUUGGAAGCCGCGGCAACGCCUUUCAAAGCCCCAUUCGUAUGCACAGAGCCUUAUUCCCUUCCUGGAGUUGGAGCUGAUGCCUUCCGUAGCCUUGGGCUUCUCUCCAUUCGGAAGCUUUGACAGGCGCAACCCCACCCAGAGGCUGGCUGCGGCUGAGGAUUAGGGGGCUGCGGUGCGGUGGCGCUCUCUCGGCUCACUGAAACCUCUGCUUCCCGGGUUCCAGUGAUUCUUCUUCGGUAGCUGGGAUUACAGGCGCACACCAUGACGGCCGGCUCAUAUUCCUAUUUUCAGUAGAGACGGGGUUUCUCCACGUUGGCCACGCUGGUCUCGAACUCCUGACCUCAAAUGAUCCGCCUUCCUGGGCCUCCCAAAGUGCUGGAAACGACAGGCCUGAGCCGCCGGGAUUUCAGCCUUUAAAAGCGCGGGCCCUGCCACCUUUCGCUGUGGCCCUUACGCUCAGAAUGACGUGUCCUCUCUGCCGUAGGUUGACUCCUUGAGUCCCCUAGGCCAUUGCACUGUAGCCUGGGCAGCAAGAGCCAAACUCCGUCCCCCCACCUCCCCGCGCACAUAAUAACUAACUAACAAACUAACUAACUAACUAAACUAACUAAAUAAAUAAAAUCUCUACACGUC
RNAcentral lists this long non-coding RNA (2520 nucleotides) under Homo sapiens (human). RNAcentral describes it as "novel transcript". The record is from RNAcentral. Lineage: Eukaryota; Metazoa; Chordata; Mammalia; Primates; Hominidae.